GACGAGGGAUCCUAGCGUUGUUCGGAAUCAUUGGGCGUAAAGCGGGUGUAGGUGGCUCUAUAAGUCAGGUGUGAAAGCCCAGGGCUCAACCCUGGAAGUGCAUUUGAUACUGCAAAGCUUGAGUGCUAGAGAGGUAAGUAGAAUACCUGGUGUAGUGGUGAAAUACGUAGAUAUCAGGUGGAAUACCGGAGGCGAAGGCGGCUUACUGGCUAGACACUGACACUCAGGAACGAAAGCUAGGGGAGCAAACAGG
This 253-nucleotide ribosomal RNA is filed under the name uncultured bacterium. Its description in RNAcentral is "partial 16S ribosomal RNA". It matches the Rfam family "Bacterial small subunit ribosomal RNA", at positions 524 to 776 of the family's 1533-position model. The record is from RNAcentral.